Molecule: transfer RNA, 63 nt
Filed under: Staphylinidae sp. BMNH 1274145
Lineage: Eukaryota; Metazoa; Arthropoda; Insecta; Coleoptera; Staphylinidae
Description: tRNA-Thr
Source: RNAcentral
GUUUUAAUAAUUUAAAUAAAAUAUUGGUCUUGUAAAUCAAAAAUAAGAACUCCUUUUAAAACA